UGAUUUGUUGGACGCUAGCGGCGGAUGGGUGAGUAACACGUGGGCAAUCUGCCCUAAAGACUGGGAUACCACUUGGAAACAGGUGCUAAUACCGGAUAACAACAUGAAUCGCAUGAUUCAAGUUUGAAAGGCGGCGUAAGCUGUCACUUUAGGAUGAGCCCGCGGCGCAUUAGCUAGUUGGUGGGGUAAAGGCCUACCAAGGCAAUGAUGCGUAGCCGAGUUGAGAGACUGAUCGGCCACAUUGGGACUGAGACACGGCCCAAACUCCUACGGGAGGCAGCAGUAGGGAAUCUUCCACAAUGGACGCAAGUCUGAUGGAGCAACGCCGCGUGAGUGAAGAAGGUUUUCGGAUCGUAAAGCUCUGUUGUUGGUGAAGAAGGAUAGAGGCAGUAACUGGUCUUUAUUUGACGGUAAUCAACCAGAAAGUCACGGCUAACUACGUGCCAGCAGCCGCGGUAAUACGUAGGUGGCAAGCGUUGUCCGGAUUUAUUGGGCGUAAAGCGAGCGCAGGCGGAAUGAUAAGUCUGAUGUGAAAGCCCACGGCUCAACCGUGGAACUGCAUCGGAAACUGUCAUUCUUGAGUGCAGAAGAGGAGAGUGGAAUUCCAUGUGUAGCGGUGGAAUGCGUAGAUAUAUGGAAGAACACCAGUGGCGAAGGCGGCUCUCUGGUCUGCAACUGACGCUGAGGCUCGAAAGCAUGGGUAGCGAACAGGAUUAGA
This 718-nucleotide ribosomal RNA is filed under the name Lactobacillus delbrueckii subsp. bulgaricus. RNAcentral describes it as "bacterial SSU rRNA". It matches the Rfam family "Bacterial small subunit ribosomal RNA", at positions 76 to 782 of the family's 1533-position model. The record is from RNAcentral. Lineage: Bacteria; Bacillati; Bacillota; Bacilli; Lactobacillales; Lactobacillaceae.